Small nucleolar RNA from Polyodon spathula (Mississippi paddlefish), 204 nucleotides. RefSeq annotates it as small nucleolar RNA SNORA74. The transcript has a single exon. NCBI's taxonomy places the organism in Eukaryota, Metazoa, Chordata, Actinopteri, Acipenseriformes, Polyodontidae. The record is from RefSeq and is a predicted model, not a curated record.
CCCAGCGGUAGUCAGCUGUCCAGGCGGCUCCCCGUGCCUGUGCCGGUGUUACACUGCUGGGAGAGGAAGGCGCGGCCCGGUAGCCUGGCUGUGGGAGACACUGUUUUAGUGGCUGCUGAAGCCGGGCUGUGGCCGUGCUUUGCACCCUCUGAGAGUGGACUGAACCAGCUCCCCUGGAGUAGCCCUAGUCUGGGUGCACACAGA